Long non-coding RNA from Daphnia magna, 3732 nucleotides. RefSeq lists it as uncharacterized. NCBI's taxonomy places the organism in Eukaryota, Metazoa, Arthropoda, Branchiopoda, Diplostraca, Daphniidae. The record is from RefSeq and is a predicted model, not a curated record. The transcript has 8 exons.
UUUUCUUGUACGGAAUUCAAAGGAUGCAAACCUUAGUUAUCGGCUGUUUAAUGGUGUUAUGUCAAAUCAUUUGCAAGGAUAACGUCACGUUUUCUUGUAAAUUUCAAGGGGAAUAUUGGUGGUUCUUUUUUUUUUUUUUUUUCGAUCAGGAUUCUUGUGGUUAUUUCCAAGUAAUGACACCACUGUGUUACGUCAGCAAGAAAAGGAAUGGAAAUCCAUGCAUUGUUGUACCGUUGGCGCCGUUUCAGAGUGAGAAUAAGACGAAUAAUAUCCAAUUGUUGAAUAAAGGAUUUGAAGAAGAGGAAGGGCGUCAUCGUUGGCCAUGGAGUCCGACGAAAUAUUCAAACAAGACAUUCUUUGUUUUUUGAAUAUCCCGAAGUCAUUCCAACAUGACUAACAUUGUUCUAUUUUUACGCUUAUGGGGUAGACAGACAACAAAUGAAGCGAAAGAACAAAACACUGGUGUGGAUUGAAGUCCACAGGAAAGUAUGCCAAGUUAUGCGUUACAUUACGCGUGAACUAACGUUGUUUACCUUUGAACUAAAAACUUGGGAAAACAAAUGCUUUGUUUCAUCUAUCGCAGACUGUCUUAACGACUGAUGUCCAUCAAACAACGAUCUGUCAGCAGCUGGAUUACUCUCGCUAAAGUUAGAUUCCACAGACAAAAAGUUAUGCCUUCCCCAGCUGUCCACCUAAUCCCUUUCAUUUCAUUUAACGUUCAUCAAGUUUACCAUCGUCUGCUUUAUAGUGCCAAACAACUACUCGUGCUAAUCUCUUCUUGCAAUUAUACACACUAGCUUUGUUGAUGUCCACGUCGUUUCGCCAGAUGGUAGUUCUCUUUGACUAUCAAGGCCCACUGGCAGACGUCAGUCGUUUCUUUGAAAACCUGGAUUCGGAGAUUGAAGAUGUGCGUAUUGUAAUUGCCUUGCGUUUUAGAAACGUCCAAUCUGCAGAGACAUAACAGUGCUGCCCAGGUGAUGGCUAUAAAUCGAGCAGCAAGUCUUAGACUUGGCAGCCAUAACAAUAACUUUCUCCGACCAUAACGUCGUACAUGUGACUUGUGUUGGGAAAAAUGUGUGAACCUGUCUUGUUUCAACUCUUGUUUUGACUGAAAAUGGGGCUGUGGUGAGCACCAUCCUUCCAACAGAAUAACGGAAAAAUGAGAUGAUUCAUAAGAUCAUAAUAAGAUAACAAGAGAAAUGGACUUGGAUAUUAGAAAAACAAGCCAGGCGUCAAUCAUCUUUUACGGUGCCUCUCAGUUUAUCAACGACAGAUCAACUGCAGGUGAACACCCAUCCGUCCAGAACGUCCAUGACGUAAGCUACUCCAGGUGCCAUAAAAGGUGUUAUUUCUGAUUGAAACGACGAUGUCAGCAUUGUCAUAGGAGGAUGGAUUUUCGCCAACACUGCAGACAAAAACGUUUUGAAAGAUCACACACGGAUUGGAGAAAAUCCAUGCAGUUCAUGGUCUUGAGCCAGUCAGGGACGUUUCCAGCCCAAACGUCUCGACAUUGCAUCGGCGUGCCGUACUACUGGGUACUACAGUAAGAUAGCUGCUGCGCGCCAUUCACUAAAGUGCUUGCCGUAUUAGCGAAAAUCAUUCGAUACGAGGCUAACUUGAUGUCACCCUGUACCAGCAUAUGAAAAUGAAUGGACGCGAAAUCCUUCAAAGCUGCACGUUGCAGACAAGCGUAACUAGGCCGUGUUACACGCGCUGUCUAUCGUCGUCACCAUUGCUCCAGACCGUGCGUUAGUUUUCCCCGUCAUUUUGUCUGCGGGAUCGGUCUUGGAAGAACGAAAGCCUCAACAAACAUCGAAUGCUGUGAAUGCGCAAAAUGUCGUGGGAAAAUUCUCAGCGUGUACAACUGGGAAUUGAAUUAAUCUUUAAAAUUUAUUCGCCACUUUUCUUGUACCUUGCUUACGUUUCUGUGUAUUGGUCGAUGCAGGAUUUAUCAACCUACGCUGAUGGAUGUGAUCGAAAUUCAGGGCGUCACCUAUGAUCACUAAAUUCAAAAUGCGGUCAGUGUAUUUUCCGCGCUUCAAAAGCGAAUCCGGCAAAGAAAAGGGCAAAUUAAAGUUGAUCAGAAGAUAGCGGAGCAGCAGUCACAACAAACUAUCGUCGCGAUUCCAAAUUCCAACGAAUCAACCUAGAUACCGAUGUUUUUAUUACAGCAUUGGUCGAAUAAGUUUCUAUUAUUUGCUUUAACCCAAUUCGUGUCUAGUCUAACCUGCCGCAGUCGUUUUAGCCAACCAGCGUUUCUCGGCCGCUGCAGAGGUUGUUGUCAGGUGCAGUGCAUAUGCGGAUGAGGUCCUUUGUGUCUACUACACGUUUUACUCAAUUUGGGUUCAAGAGAUUUCAUCGGUCGCUGGAUCCCAAUCCGUCGUUGUCGCUAAACUUAUUCCCCGCCGUCUGUCGUUUCCAAGUUUGGGAUCGAGAUUCGACGACUGCAAUUCGUCCGCUGGAUUCUACCAGCAACGUGCCUUUCGUUUCGUUCUAAACUUUUCUCUUAUACCAUGGUAACCAUACACAACUGAUUGCUAUCUCCAAAGACGGCUUUACUUGAUAAAAAAAAAAAAGAAAAGUUAGCGUAUGUCGAACACUUUCAAGUCUGAUGACGACAUCAGCCAAAACACGACCGCGAACUUUUAUGCAAGUCGUAAACUCGUCCUUCAUCAGCAGUCACGCAGACUUGACCCUUAUACUCUGUGUUUAUUUAACUCGUCUAUUUUGGGAAGAAAACUCUUGUGAAAUGACCCAGUUGGAAGGGGGGAAAAAAACAAAACAAAGCAAGACUGCAGCAUCUAUAGACGUGCUCUUGAUGGGAAUGAAGUACUAUACUUUGUGUAGUUAUCGAUCGCGAUAUCGUUAGUAGAUUUAUUAAGCUAGAAGCCUGAUACUUAUUCAUUACUGCUUACACUACUAAAACAAACGUUCUUUCCUUAUGUUUUAAUUGCUUCCACACCCGUCAGCUGUCUAAAGUGCACACACCAAAGCGUGUUCGCCGAAUGCGGAUUAGUUUAGAAACUCAACCUCUCACCACCGGUUACAUCAGCCAUCAGCCUGUUUCCAAAUGGAGUGGGAAUGAAACGACAGCUGGAUAGCGACGGAUGCGCCAGUCGCUUUUAACCGCCACUCAAAGCAAUGUCGCACAGCUCUUUACUGAAAUGGUACAGGGUGUAAAACAUCGCAACGUAAAAGUCGUAAUAAGAGCGACAUCUUCAGUCCUACCAGCGUACAGUCCGGUUACUAAAUCCAUACACCUCAGACGCAGCAGAGCCGUGAAUCGUGACGGAGAAUCGUGAGAGGAGAUGCAAUCCUUUUGACAAACAUUGAGGGAACCUACUGCUGUGCAUUGCAGAACGAUCUGUUUGCUGAGCAGGCGUAUUACUAUUUACUCGCACUUUGGAACGGCGAACAUAUUACCCGAAUUUUUUCUACUGGUAGAUUUAAAGAAACGAGUGAUAUACGAAUAGCAAAUGAGAGUUUUGAAGUUGAAAAACAACAGUUUAAGGAGUUGUUCAAAUCAAAAACAAUUUUUUUCUAGUCCUCAAACAGGCUUUCGAAGUAGGCUUGGAAUAAUAUCCCUGGUAAUGGAUUGCUAAAGUUUGCAGCUUCGUUUAUAAUUAAAGCUGUUGUUUACCGUGUUGAAAAGUUGCUCUGUUGUUUUAAAGUUUAGCCAAAGCUUGUGUAACCUACUUUAUGCGUCAUCUGCAAAAAAAGCCAGUUGAAAAA